AACGCACCUUGCGCUCCUUGGUAUUCCGAGGAGCAUGCCUGUUUGAGUGUCAUUAAAUUCUCAACCUUACCAGUUUUCACGAAUUGGUAAUGGCUUGGACUUGGGGGUUUUUUGCUGGCUUCGUCAAGAGGUCUGCUCCCCUUAAAUGUAUUAGCCGGUACCCUUGUGGAGUCGUCUAUUGGUGUGAUAAUUAUCUACGCCGUGGGCCUUCACUUUAAAUGGAUUGUACUGCUUCUAACCGUCCGUUAAGUCGGACAAAUAAUGACAAUUUGACCUCAAAUCAGGUAGGACUACCCGCUGAACUUAA
RNAcentral lists this ribosomal RNA (307 nucleotides) under Galerina sp. Its description in RNAcentral is "partial contains 5.8S ribosomal RNA, internal transcribed spacer 2, and large subunit ribosomal RNA". The stretch from base 1 to 52 matches the Rfam family "5.8S ribosomal RNA", at positions 103 to 154 of the family's 154-position model. Lineage: Eukaryota; Fungi; Basidiomycota; Agaricomycetes; Agaricales; Galerinaceae. The record is from RNAcentral. RNAcentral also lists the same sequence under 1 other name.